AUAGUUUUAGCAUCCCACAUUAAGGUGUCAACCGAUACUUGCUGUAGAUCAUGUUGAUGAGUUCAAAUUGCAGGACGUGAGAAUAAAAUCCCUUUAAAGGCAUAUAGUGCUUUAUUGGUAUGUUUACAGAGAUUCAGAGAAGCAUGCGGUAUCACAGUCAGUCUAGUGAGAAUAUAAUAUGGGAUUAUCUGGGACAUAUUCCAUGAUUUUCCAUGAUUUAAAGGAACCCUCAAUGCUGUCCUUUUGCAUAUAUUUUAAAGCACACCUUAUAGCAUUCUCUGCUGUUACCAACAGUUUAACCUUGAGAUGAUUUUCUGGGCUACACUUAGUAACUACAAACACAGCAGCCCAAAGCCCGUCAUGCCUGCCGCCACAGAGAAGAACUCCAGGUGCUGGUAAGUAACGCUAAACUUAAUUCUCAUUGGUGAAAUUACUGUAGUAUAAAAACAAUCUAAAAAAAUGUAAAGAUUGAUUGAUUAUGAUUGUAAAAAAUACUAGAUAAUACAAAAAAAUGUUAUGAAACCCUUUUGAUUGGUCACCAUAGCUUUGGUGUCCACAGUUCAGACAAAUAUGUCAUAAAUAGUGCUGAUGUGUUGACGACAACAACAAAAUUUAAGUUUAAAGUAGCAAUUUGAAAACAGGCUUAGUUUUCACAUAUAAUUAUUCCUGCUAAAUAUUCAUUAGCAGUUAUAAUUUGUUUGAUAGGAUAGAUCUAAUAUGGCAUUCAGAAAAGAAAUGUGGCCUCUACCAGCGAGCACAGAAAAAUUUGUAAUUAUCAGCCAUAUAACAAUUAAUAUAAAAAUUAAAAUGAGAGUUACUAGACUUAUUAAAACAAUGGAAAGUCUUAUAGUGUGAGUGCUUCCAACAAAAAAAAUGUGAUUUUCAGAAAAUAUUUGACAUACAGGUGUAACCCACACAUAUGCACACAGAACUUUAACUAAACGUUGUGCUUCACCUUGAUGCAUGCUCAAUCAUCCAGGUGAGUAAAUCCCCAAAAGUUGAUUCUGUUCAUCUGGACGUAGCGUUUUCAGUGGGAGAAACGUUUGUCACUCAUCCAAGUGACUUCUUUAGUCUCAGCUGACUACAGGUCGCCCAAGUCAUAAACAGUACAUUAGCAUAAUGACUGAAACCAGCACCACUGUAGGAACAAAGGGGCUGGGAGGUCAGUUCCUUGAUCAUUAAUAUGGAAAUUCUCAUGACCAUGAUGACCCCCCACCUCAGCAACAGGACCACUCUCAGCUUCGACCAAGUGUGUUUGCUUUUGAAACUGUGUCUUAAGUCCACCUAUUUCACAUACAAGGGUCAGUACUACAGGCAGAAACAUGGGUGUGCCAUGGGCUCCCCAGUUUCACCCAUCGUGGCCAAUUUGUACAUGGAAGAAGUGGAAAAGAGGGCUUUGGUAUCCUACCCUGGAACGUCCCAGGACAUACCGCAAUUCACAGAUCACAUUAACUCGGUGGACCAACACAUCAAAUUCACCAGGGAGGAUAUGAAAAGUGGCAGGUUAGCUUUCUUAGACUGUGAGAUUUCCAUCAGUAAUGGGGGACAUCUAAAAGCUGAUGUGUACCGAAAACCUAUGCAUACGGAUCAGUAUUUAAGGUUUGACUCUCAUCAUCCACUGGAGCAUAAAGUCGGUGUCAUCAGGACGCUACAACAUAGAGCCAAUACCAUUCCCACUGACACAGCGGCCAGGGAGGCAGAAGAACAUCACAUCAAGAAGGCCCUGAGUAAAUGUGGUUAUCCCAGCUGGACUUUUGUCAAAGCUGGUAAGGCACCUAAAGAAAGCUCCAGCUGAUCAAGGAGAGAAGGACAACUGCUGCCUAAGCGAAAACCCAGAGUGGAGUAUCGGGAGUAUCGGAACAGCUGAGACGCAUUUUUUCGAAACAGCGUGCCUUGGUGGCUUUUAAACCCCACACACAAAAAAUGUGCCACCCCAAGGAUCGGGUCCCCUGACACAUCCAGAGUGAUAUAGUGUACCAAAUUAUUUAAUAUUUACAGUGAGUCUAGUGCUCUGGUUGUGCUAAAUGCAAAUAAUAUCUUCCUCGAUUUUCUUCAUGAAAGGGAAAAAAGACCAGAAAUAUACCAUCCAGGUGCCAGUGGUGAAUUCACAUGCCAGAGAGUAAGAAGACAUCUUAUUUUAAAUAUGAAGAUGAUUUUGAUCUACAUGAUCAUCGCAGCUCCAGCAAUGACCGCUGUGGCACAAGGGUCUUCAGAAUGCAAUCUAACUGAACCUGGGCCCCAGACAUGUUUUGGAGUUUUAGGAGAACCGCUCGUUUUUUACAUACCUACUAAACCACAUAUAAAGACAAGCUUGAAAAAGAGUACAGAUAAGAUUUUAAUGUUAAUAAAUGAUAAAUUAGUUAGUCUCAAUGAAAAAUACAAGAAUCGUACUAUAUUCUCCACAAAUGGAACAUUGAAGCUCAACAAAGCAACAAAAAAUGACUCUGGAGAGUACAGCAUGGAAACACACAAUUCUACUGAAGGUGUGUUAUUGUACACAGUUAACAUCCAUCUACAUAUACUAGCUCCUGUGUCAGAACCAGCUGUUACGCAGAUGUGUUUGUCACCAAAACAGAUGACAGUCAGCUGUUUCUCUGAAGGAGACGAAGUAGAGUUCAUUUUGUCUUUGGAUGAUAAGUUGUUGAUACAGUCUACAGCUGACGGUAUAGAAAACAACAACAUUUCAAAUGUUACCAUCAACUUACCUGGUCAGCUGAUGGGAAACCUGACAUGUGUUGCUCAAAACAAUGCCAGCAGAAAACAAACUAUCACCCACCUUACAAGCUGCACAGCUCCUGUGUCAGAACCAGCUGUUUCGCAGAUGUGUUUGUCACCAAAACAGAUGACAGUCAGUUGCUCCUCUGAAGGAGAUGAAGUAGAGUUCACCUUGUUUUUGGAUGAUAACUUGUUGAUAAAAACCCAACCCAGCAUUGCAGAAAACCACAACAUUUCAAAUGUUACCAUCAGUUUACAUGGUCAGCUGAUGGGAAAUUUUAUGUGUAUCGUCCAAAACAACAUCAGCAGAGAACAAACCAUCAUCCACCUUAUAAGCUGCACAGAGAGUCUCCCAGACUUGUUCUCUAAAAACCUAAAGAAGAAUUGUGGAUUUGAUCUGGUCCCUUAAAGAAACCGACAGCUCCUGGGCUGGGGAAAGCACGAUUGUCAUGCGGAGAUGUUUGCUGCCGGAUACUCGAUGGUCGGUUGCUUUGUGUGUCUGGCGACACUCUCGAUGGAGGACAUUGAACGACAUGUACCAAUUCGGAACCACGAUAACAGAGUUCUGGCUGAUUGAGCUGGCUCGGACCUGGCUUAUCGAAGAACAAGAAGCGGCUACAGCUGUUCAAAAUCCCAUAAGGCUGGCCGAUAUGAUAGACGAUGGGCAGGGCUGUGAGUACUCAGACUGUUUUUUUGAACGCAAUAUGGAUAAGAUCUUGGAGAAGCUCAUGGCUCUGCUAUAUGGAUAACAUCUUGAAGAAGAACAAUGGGAAUUGAGAGACCUGGUGACCAGUGACGGACAUUAGACCUUCUGUAAAAUUGGAUGCAGUUUGUUCGCACUAACCAAAACAACUACCAUCUUCAUCUCAUGCGGCCCCCCUGGCGCCAGCUGGAUGCUCAAGGCAAAAGCUGACGGGAAUAACAAAUUCUCCCUUAGAUAACAAAACUGUGUUGUGACUUUCUUCCCCCUCAUUCAAGGCCACCCGUGUCCACCGAAGAUUGUUGACUUUUGCCUAACUGAGUGAAGGGACACUUUCACAUACGCAUGUACACUGACACAUACCUACACUCACCCCUCCACCCCCUCCAAACGCCUUCGAAGCUUAUGUCUUCUAUGUUGUGAGAUGUAAUGAUUCAUGUGCUAUGUGCUGAGGUGUUUUUUUCUGUUCUCAGACUGAUCUCCCUGUUGGAGCUCAGUCUGGGGGGAGUUCUUUUUUCUCCUCGUCUUUCCUCAUUUUGUGCAUUUUCCAUUGUUAUACCUCUCUGACUUGUCUUCCCCAUGUGAUGCUGUGUAAUGAAUGUAUGGUCGGAAGGGUAAGAUGGCCCUGGCAAAAGGUCGGCAGCCUUAACCCAAUUUCCUUCGGGGUCAACCUUCGGGAUCAAUAAAGUUUUAUUGAAUUGAAUUGAAUUGAAUUGAAUUGAACAUUGUAGCCCAGUAAACUAUAUUUACAUUAUUUCAGUACUUCUUAAUGGUUUUAAUUUCUAGGUAAUAUUUCUGACCACUGCAUUGUGACCAUGGCUGUGGUAGUAAGCAUUGCCAUUCUACUCAUUCUGGCUGUGUUUCUUGGUAUCCGGAAAUUCAAAAACACAACUGGCAUUAUGACUGUUCAUGAAGAUGAAGCUGAAGAGGACGUUGUCUACUCAGAUAUUAGACUGAAGCAGCGUGCAAGAGAAACAAGAGAAACACCACCUAUUUCAAAUCAAGAUGAAAGUUAACGUUCUCCUAAACAGUCUGACAUUCUGAAACCUAAAACCUAACAUGUUGACUUUCGGUCAACUGGCUAAUAAAACUAUGCCAGUUUAGCAGUUCCAUCUUUGCAGUGAACGUGAAGGUAAACAUAUUUAACAAGCACUCACUGGAUUACUUUAAUUUUGAAGAAAACAUAAAGGGGAAAAAGUUAUUUCGAAGGCAUUUAAUAUACAUGAAAUACUUAUUUAUACUUAUUUAUAAAUGCUUUAUAUUUGAACUACAUUUUAUUUGACAUAAUUUAAAUAAACUACAUCAACCUUGUAAAAGUUCUAACCAACAUUUUACAUUUAACCUUGGAGAUUGAAUAAAAGGCUUUGGUCAGUGAUGGUGCUUUCCUUGUGUUGUGUUAAGCAGACGUGGGCUGUGCCUCAU
Molecule: long non-coding RNA, 4837 nt
Organism: Oreochromis aureus
Lineage: Eukaryota; Metazoa; Chordata; Actinopteri; Cichliformes; Cichlidae
Source: Ensembl